Molecule: small RNA, 625 nt
Filed under: Pan troglodytes (chimpanzee)
Lineage: Eukaryota; Metazoa; Chordata; Mammalia; Primates; Hominidae
Description: processed transcript
Source: RNAcentral
AAAUGGAAUUCUCUUAUUUUUGCUUGAUUUUUUUUUCAAGCUUUAUGUUGCAUAAGAGGGUUUUUUGCAUUUUGCAUAAAUUCUGUGUGCAGUCAUGGGGAUCUCACAUUUUUAAACCCUCCCCUGCAGUUUCUGUGGCUCAGCUCUUCUGGCCAAUUGCCUAACCUGCUGGAGUUCUAGGGGAGGAGAAAAGAUUGAGAGAAGUGGUGUCUCCUCCUGGUGCCUCCCUCUCGCCCCUGAAAUUCAGUCCAGCCAAUUCAGUGAUGGGGCUUCCCAGGGCAGAAGAGUGGAGAUCCCUACUCUGUUAAAAGAAAUGUGGCAAGAACCCUAAAUAGUCAACCUGUGUUUGAAUAUAUACUUCAUUGUUUAAGGACAACAUACAAGUAUUUUGCUCUUCCACACAAAAUUACAAAAUCCAGCCUUCUAAAGCCUCUGAAUGCAAUUACAUGUAUUUCAGAGCAUUCUAAAGAAGUAAUAAAUCAUCAUCCAGAUGUACAAACAAAAGAUGAUAAGCUCAAAAACUCAGUUUUGGCCCAAGGUCCUGGUGCUACCAGUUCAGCUGCAAAUACCUGUAAGGUACAGCCACUUACUCUUAAAGAGACUGCUGAAAGUUUUGGAAGCCCAC